This 208-nucleotide ribosomal RNA is filed under the name uncultured bacterium. Its description in RNAcentral is "partial 16S ribosomal RNA". It matches the Rfam family "Bacterial small subunit ribosomal RNA", at positions 568 to 775 of the family's 1533-position model. The record is from RNAcentral.
CGCGCAGGCGGUUAAUUAAGUCGAAUGUGAAAGCCCCCGGCUCAACUGGGGAGGGUCAUUCGAUACUGAUCAACUUGAAGGCAGGAGAGGGUAGUGGAAUUCCCGGUGUAGUGGUGAAAUGCGUAGAUAUCGGGAGGAACACCAGUGGCGAAGGCGACUACCUGGCCUGUUCUUGACGCUGAGGCGCGAAAGCUGGGGGAGGCAAACG